This 655-nucleotide ribosomal RNA is filed under the name Albinaria papillifera menkhorsti. Its description in RNAcentral is "partial 12S ribosomal RNA". The record is from RNAcentral. Lineage: Eukaryota; Metazoa; Mollusca; Gastropoda; Stylommatophora; Clausiliidae.
GCCACUUUAAUUUGAUGGAUAUCGUAUACUAUAAAUAUAUUUAAAUAUGAACUCUAAAGAGUAUAUAAAUUCAGUUUAAAAUUUUAAACAAUAUAAGAAAUUAUAAUUUAGAUAGUUUAUUAAUCUAGGUUAAUUAGGUGCCAGCAACCGCGGUCAAACCUAAUAGGUUAGUAUACAAGCUUAUUUAAUAAUUUAAUGUUCUUUAAAGUAACGUAAUAAGUAGUGAAAUAUUAUUUAAAUAUUAACCCACAAAAGUAAGUGCUAAACUAAAUUCAUAUGCAAAACUAGGAUUAGAGACCCUACUAUUAUGAACUCAAUCUGAUUAUUUCUAAGAAGUAAGAUUACAAAAUUUAAACUUAAAAAUUAUGGCGGCUAAAUAAAACAUUUAGGGGAACUUACCAUAUAAUUGAUAGCCACCAAGCAUAACUAUACUUACUCUCAUAAAAUUUGUAUACCGUUGUCUUCAUAAACCCUUUUAGAGGGUUUAUAACUAUAAAUUUAAUUAAUAUUAAGACAAAUCAAGGUGCAGUCUAUUAGUAAGAAUUAAGGUGAGUUACAAUAAAAUAUUUUUUCGGAUUUUUUUAUGAAAUAGUAAAUAAAGAUGGACUUAAAAGUAAUUUCCAAGAUUAAUUAAAAUAUGAAUAUGUCUUACUUA